RNAcentral lists this ribosomal RNA (302 nucleotides) under uncultured bacterium. Its description in RNAcentral is "partial 16S ribosomal RNA". It matches the Rfam family "Bacterial small subunit ribosomal RNA", at positions 508 to 807 of the family's 1533-position model. The record is from RNAcentral.
GCAGCCGCCGCGGUAAUACGGAGGGAGCUAGCGUUGUUCGGAAUUACUGGGCGUAAAGCGCGCGUAGGCGGUUACUCAAGUCAGAGGUGAAAGCCCGGGGCUCAACCCCGGAACUGCCUUUGAAACUAGGUGGCUAGAAUCCUGGAGAGGUCAGUGGAAUUCCGAGUGUAGAGGUGAAAUUCGUAGAUAUUCGGAAGAACACCAGUGGCGAAGGCGACUGACUGGACAAGUAUUGACGCUGAGGCGCGAAAGCGUGGGGAGCAAACAGGAUUAGAGACCCCUGUAGUCCCUGUCUCUUAUAC